RNAcentral lists this ribosomal RNA (465 nucleotides) under Vreelandella stevensii. RNAcentral describes it as "partial 16S ribosomal RNA". It matches the Rfam family "Bacterial small subunit ribosomal RNA", at positions 338 to 795 of the family's 1533-position model. Lineage: Bacteria; Pseudomonadati; Pseudomonadota; Gammaproteobacteria; Oceanospirillales; Halomonadaceae. The record is from RNAcentral.
CCUACGGGAGGCUGCAGUGGGGAAUAUUGGACAAUGGGGGGAACCCUGAUCCAGCCAUGCCGCGUGUGUGAAGAAGGCCCUCGGGUUGUAAAGCACUUUCAGUGAGGAAGAACGCCUGGUGGUUAAUACCCAUCAGGAAAGACAUCACUCACAGAAGAAGCACCGGCUAACUCCGUGCCAGCAGCCGCGGUAAUACGGAGGGUGCGAGCGUUAAUCGGAAUUACUGGGCGUAAAGCGCGCGUAGGUGGCUGGAUAAGCCGGUUGUGAAAGCCCCGGGCUCAACCUGGGAACGGCAUCCGGAACUGUCAAGCUAGAGUGCAGGAGAGGAAGGUAGAAUUCCCGGUGUAGCGGUGAAAUGCGUAGAGAUCGGGAGGAAUACCAGUGGCGAAGGCGGCCUUCUGGACUGACACUGACACUGAGGUGCGAAAGCGUGGGUAGCAAACAGGAUUAGAUACCCUAGUAGGC